UGGGGGAUAUUGCACAAUGGGCGAAAUCCUGCUGCAGCGACGCCGCGUGGGGGAUGAAGGCCUUCGGGUUGUAAACUUCUUUUGCUCUGAACAAGGCGCACCAUGGGGUGUGUUGAGUGUAGGGGUUGAUUAGCGCCGGCUAACUACGUGCCAGCAGCCGCGGUCAUACGUCGGGCGCGAGCGUUGUCCGGAAUUAUUGGGCGUAAAGGGCUGGUAGGUGGCUGGGUGCGUCUGUCGUGAAAGCUCAUGGCUUAACUGUGGGUUUGCGGUGGGGACGGGGUGGCUGGAGGGCAGUAGGAGAGGCUGGAAUUCCUGGUGUAGCGGUGGAAUGCGCAGAUAUCAGGAGGAAUACCGGGGGCGAAGGCGGGUCUCUGGGCUGUUACUGACACUGAGGAGCGAAAGCAUGGGGAGCAAAAAGG
Molecule: ribosomal RNA, 419 nt
Filed under: bacterium
Lineage: Bacteria
Description: partial 16S ribosomal RNA
Rfam family: Bacterial small subunit ribosomal RNA
Source: RNAcentral